GGCCUGUGAUGUUUGAGAUUGUCCGUACCAUCUGAGAUUUUUAUUUCUCCUUGAUGAUUUGUUUCCUCUAGGUUCUGAGGCUU
Molecule: small nucleolar RNA, 83 nt
Filed under: Eutrema salsugineum
Lineage: Eukaryota; Viridiplantae; Streptophyta; Magnoliopsida; Brassicales; Brassicaceae
Description: small nucleolar RNA snoR117
Rfam family: small nucleolar RNA snoR117
Source: Rfam by way of RNAcentral